ACAAUCAGAACAACUAUCGUAAUACCAAACUUACCCUUAACUUAAAGUGUGUAGUUAUUGAUGUCUUAAAAAGAGUCUACUAUGGGCACAUUAUUCCACUGAUGGAACUGCCAGAUGGUUCCAUAUCCAGCCACGUUGGUAGCACAACAGGUUACUUCUCCUACAAUUCUCCACAGAGAUGAUGCAUUAUCUUACCACUGUGCUGAAAAGGACAGCUAUACUCAUGAUUGGAUGGCCAAUCAAUCGAGUAUGGCCUGACCUGGUGAACUGCAAGAUUGGCAAUAAAAUUAUCAUCUAGAUGAGCAUAAAUAAGCAACAUAAAAGGAACGACUGAACAAGAAGGAACGCGAUUAUUACAUGAUAUUUUUUUUUUUAUGUGCUGGGAAAUCCUUCUAUCGAAGCUCAAACUUUUGCUGGUUUUGAAGCUUUGCAAAUAAAUAUUUAUCUUCGCAACAUGACAGUUUUAGAAAUCAAAACCAAGACUUUGAUUCUAUGCAGCUCAAUUUGGAGUGAAACAUAUCAUAUCAACUCUAAAUGUCACACCCCACCUGGAAAAGAUAACCAAAAGUUAAGAAUGCUAAACUUUAAGAGGCAUUCUUAACUUUUCAAAUUUCAAUUCUAGCCCAUCCGUUGCCCCAUUCGAAAGGUCCUUGUUAACUGCGAAUCCUAAUCACAAACACCAUCCACCAUAGUUAUUCGUACAGCCUUGUGAUGAUCAGCAUGCAAAAAAUGAUAAAUUUGUAGACGAAAGAUUUCCCAAGAAACGACCUGUUUGUUUUUUUAUGAUUUUUCUAGCCAGUAAGAAGACUUAUUCUCAUUGCUUAAGAAGACCUGUGCUAAUCAAUAUGACAACCAUGCUACUUCCUAGAACCUGCCACUCAAUUACAUGCUCUUGAUUGAUGGGUAAUGGGGAAGACGGAUCUGAGGAUCAUUAAUCCUCCUCACCAAUCACAUGACUUCUUGAGCAUGAAAGAUCCAUGUAUCUAAGUAUCUAACCCUGAAAAUUAUAACAUCUAUAUAGAACAAUUGGCUGUAAAUAUUCAUAAUUGCGUUGAGAGAACUAUUGGAGGGCAGCAAAAAAACUAAGUUAUGGACACAAACCAGGAAAAAAAAAAUGGGAAUCACCUGCAGCAGUACCACCAGGAUUAUAAUCUAGACGAUCAGCCCUAAAGAUGCCCCAGGCCAAACAAAUCCUCUCCAACGCGCCAUAACCAUUUGAAGCAGCAGAAGUAUAGAAUUGCACAUCCUUGAAUAACUCAGGAAACCACACUUCCUCUUCCUAACCAAGAUAGCAGCCCUAUGCAAUUGAUCACCCUGCAUUUCUCCCUGAUUUAGAAAGCUAUCUGAUGAACGAAAACCAUGGAGAAACUGCUGAUCAGAACUGCCAACACCGGAAUCCAUUACAGGAAAGAAAAGAAAAGAAUAAACAUGUAGAAUGUGGCAAUGAGAUUGAGCAACUAGGGCUUCCUAGAAGGUGCUAGACUUAACAAACAUCUACGGGGAGGCAGAGCAGGAGUUUCAUAAGGAAUAAAAGAUUCUGAACCUGCUAAAGACUAUUGAGAUGACAACUGACUAGAUCAAUUAUUGCGGAUGAGAGUGGAGUCAACAAUCUUAUUAGUUGAAUAUUUAUUAACAAUAACUGUUAACUAACAAUUAAUACUCUAAAAGCAAAAAAAUUGGAAAUUACAAACAACAAAUACCUGAUGACCACACCUAACAGCGGUCUUCUUCCUUUCCUCAUUCAAUUUCC
This 1750-nucleotide long non-coding RNA is filed under the name Populus trichocarpa (black cottonwood). Its description in RNAcentral is "long non-coding RNA (PTRI_LNC000554)". The record is from RNAcentral. Lineage: Eukaryota; Viridiplantae; Streptophyta; Magnoliopsida; Malpighiales; Salicaceae.